UUCGAUCCAAACGUCCAGCGACAACGACGGCGAUAACGACAAGCGCUUGUAGACGCAGCAUUCCAGUCCCUAAUUCAAGAUGACGAAGGGAACUUCUAGCUUCGGCAAGCGCCAUAACAAGACGCACACCCUGUGCAGACGUUGCGGCCGUCGCUCUCUCCACAUCCAAAAGCACACAUGUUCAUCUUGCGGAUAUCCAUCCGCUAAGACUCGGAAAUACAACUGGGCUGAAAAGUCUUUGCGACGAAGAACCACCGGAAGUGGACGCAUGCGAUAUCUCAAAACGGUCGACCGCAAAUUCAAGAACGGGUUCCAAACCGGUACUCCCAAGGGAGCUCGAGGGCCAGAGAAGCAUUAAGGUCAUGUGUGGGUUGAAAAGACGGCUUCCAACGACAAUUCGGGCUAAGGGUUGAAUUAUUAUUUUCCUUUUCCUUGUGGAUGGCCGGGUUGAUUUCUUGUAACGGCUCAGGGGUGUUUUAACUGUUAUUUUUUUUGUUAGCGUGCUAUCAACAUUCGAAAAAAAGAGAAACAACCUAUUUGGCCCAAUGGGAAAUCGCGGGGAUAGAAAAGGAACGUGGCAUGCGCCUUGUGCAUGACUAGUUUAAUGACAUGAUGUCUGCCGUCAAUGUGUUUCUUUUAACAUCAACAAUUCUUGUUAGACUUGGAACUUUUUAAGUUGCCCCCUACAUGCUAUUCCGCAAUCGGUCCGCUUCAUUGGCCCUCUUUCCUUCUCCAACGGUUUUAUGAUUCAUUCAAUGCUUUCAACAGGAGAUUCAAAUGCUGGACCAAAAUUUACACUGAAUUUAUACGAAUUUCAAUCCAUAGCCAAUAACUUCACUCGCCUCUCUCGAAAACGCGAACCGCACCAUCUCCUUGUACAAAAUAUAAUACCUCCUUCUCUUCUAAGCCUGAAUGGUCAUGGCUCUGCCCUUUAUUUGCAAUCCCUACUUCUGGAACCCAUCCACCCCCUCUACUAAUCCGUAGCACUCCGCUGACAUCACCAGCAACACCCGUAUCCAAACCUCUCAGUUGCAUAACCAUCCUAGCUUGAUGCGCCAUCCCCACAACUAAGGAUGCAUGUUCCCUCUCAAGCGGUGUUGGCUGUUGGUGCGUAGACUUGACAGAACCCGCGUGUAUCAGAGGUGAAUCGGCUGCAAGUGUGACAACAGCAGAAUGAACCCGCUGUCGUAACCCCAACAGAAACUCCCCCAUCUCCACCGCUCCAACUCCCAUUCCCGGACCUGUAGCAGCAAGGAGCAAAUCAGGCUGGUCCACCACAAGGAGUACAUCGUUGUCCACCGGCAUUUCAUCCGACGCUCUAUCGUCACUUCUUAAGUCAUUGAUGGCAAAAACAAUCUCCUGCUCCAGUGCAUCUAAUGCUCUGUUCCCCGUACCAGACCAUCGAAGUUUUCUCGACGCAAUUUCGCCAUUCUUCUGUUGGCUAGUUACAGUUGGAAGGCUGGUAGAUGUUGGUCCCCGAGGGGGUAAUACGGUGUGUGGCGGAAUCCGGGCCGGACUUGGUGAACUGCUCGACACUGAACGCCCGGGCACUGGAUCCGGAAAUGUUUGUAUGGGUAAGAAGAGCUCCGAGACCCCGUCUACGAAAGCAAAUCUGCCUUCUUUUGACAGCCUAGCGAGAUCCAGUCCCUAAGUCGAGGGUCAGAGACACGUAAAAAGGGGCGCGUAAGCAAGUUCAUUGACUAGCGGAGCAUGCCGCUGUCAAUUGAAUGUAGAGUGUUUACCCAUUCCUCAUAUCAGAACAGCCAAAUAGAGACAAAAAGAAACAUAUCAAAACUGUACGAUGAUGGGGGAAAGAAACGGAAAGAAAGAAAGAAAGAAACAAAGAAAGAAACAUCCAAAGGUCAUCCAAAAUCAAAAUCAACAAUCCAUACCAUUUUCCGCGCCUCUCCCCUCCAAAACUUCACGGCCCUCAAAAAGCUCACGAAAACUACCCCUCUGACCCUUCUUCGGGCACCCGGGCCGCCAAACUCCAUCUCCUCUCCUCCUCGACCGCUGCCGGACGAUAGAGCAUCGCAGAGGAUCCUUAAAACUAGCCAGUUACUCGUUGCGCCGAGAACGGAGGUGAUAAGGGUGAGGGACUGGGCGGGGAGAGGCGAUGCUGUGUAGGGAGCUAGGAGGGGUGCGGUUGGUGUAGGCAUAUUUCUAAAUUCUUUUCUGUCUUUCUUCCUAGCUAGCGGGAGACGUUCAGGUCGGAUGAGCCUCCUACAUCCGCAGCUUAGUUGUGUAUAUCUCGUGUACAGGGAAGUGUGGGCCAACCCUCCCAGGUUAUCUUGUGGUUAUGUAAAUAAAUAUACUUGUAUAUAUACUUUUACAUCGAGAUGGAUGCAAUGCUUGACUUGCUUCAGGUGAAAUUAAAAAAUGUGGCUGCAAGGAAUUAUGAGCUGAUUGUUUAAGAGAGGUAAGUAGUUAACUACGGGACACAGUUGUUGUCAAUAGAAGAUGAAUAGCAUCACGUCCGAUGGUUGCGUCCAAAAAAAAAAAAAAAGAAAAGAAAAA
Molecule: small RNA, 2517 nt
Filed under: Histoplasma capsulatum
Lineage: Eukaryota; Fungi; Ascomycota; Eurotiomycetes; Onygenales; Ajellomycetaceae
Description: hypothetical RNA
Source: RNAcentral